This 182-nucleotide ribosomal RNA is filed under the name uncultured bacterium. RNAcentral describes it as "partial 16S ribosomal RNA". It matches the Rfam family "Bacterial small subunit ribosomal RNA", at positions 1319 to 1500 of the family's 1533-position model. The record is from RNAcentral.
CAUGAAGUUGGAAUUGCUAGUAAUCGCGAAUCAGAAUGUCGCGGUGAAUACGUUCCCGGGCCUUGUACACACCGCCCGUCACACCAUGGGAGUCGGUAACACCCGAAGCCUGUAGUCUAACCGCAAGGAGGACGCAGUCGAAGGUGGGAUUGAUGACUGGGGUGAAGUCGUAACAAGGUAAC